Molecule: ribosomal RNA, 489 nt
Filed under: uncultured bacterium
Lineage: Bacteria
Description: partial 16S ribosomal RNA
Rfam family: Bacterial small subunit ribosomal RNA
Source: RNAcentral
GACGAACGCUGGCGGCGUGCUUAACACAUGCAAGUCGAACGGUGAAGGGACCAGCUUGCUGGUUCUGGAUGAGUGGCGAACGGGUGAGUAACACGUGAGUAACCUGCCCCCUUCUUCUGGAUAACCGCAUGAAAGUGUGGCUAAUACGGGAUAUUCUGGGUCUGUCGCAUGGCGGGCCCGGGAAAGAUAUUGCUUCGGUGGGGGAUGGGCUCGCGGCCUAUCAGCUUGUUGGUGGGGUGAUGGCCUACCAAGGCGGUGACGGGUAGCCGGCCUGAGAGGGUGGACGGUCACACUGGGACUGUGACACGGCCCAGACUCCUACGGGAGGCAGCAGUGGGGAAUAUUGCACAAUGGGCGCAAGCCUGAUGCAGCGACGCCGCGUGAGGGAUGGAGGCCUUCGGGUUGUAAACCUCUUUCGCCAGUGAAGCAGGCCUGCUCCUUGUGGGUGGGUUGACGGUAGCUGGAUAAGAAGCGCCGGCUAACUACGUG